This is a long non-coding RNA of Megalopta genalis, 800 nucleotides long. RefSeq lists it as uncharacterized. The record is from RefSeq and is a predicted model, not a curated record. NCBI's taxonomy places the organism in Eukaryota, Metazoa, Arthropoda, Insecta, Hymenoptera, Halictidae.
UCGACUCGACUCGACUCGACUCGACGCGACUCGACGCGACGCGACUUGUCUCGUCUGGUCUCGUCUCGACCCGCUCCGGCCCGACUCUCGCAUGGAUUCAUUCAGCGCGCGUGCACAAGCGUGAACCGGUGCAGAACUGAUCGGAUUAAUAUUCCGAAACUGUAAACCAUCGGAAUCGAACGAGCAUCCUCCUACGGACCGGGUUCCCGCUUCUAAUGACGUCGGCGGCUCUUCACCUCUCUCUCUCUCUUUUCCUCUUUGUCUCCGUCUGUUCGUCGACGCCGCGCCGAGGCCCGACGAAGUUAUGCGAACCGUUUCAAGAUCGUCUGGUAAUUUCUGUCAUGAUAUUGACAGUAUACUUUAUGAAACACGGAAUCAUCUGAAGGAACCAGAAACGGACGGCGGAACUGAUCGACCGGAUCGAAGACCGAAUUUUUUCACAGCUAAUAUAUUCCAGUCUCCGAGGAGAGAGAUCGACGAGUUUGACGGAUAAAAUGAAAAGUCGUUAGAGCUUCCACCGAAUUAGAGCCGCGAGGUCAUUGCCCAUGUCCGAGGUCAGUUCGAGUGGCUGUUCGCUCUGCGUCUGUGAGGUAUGACGAAUUUUUUCGAAUUUAUGCGCGACAGCCGUGCGCCGAUAUAACAACGAGCAAUUGUUCGAUAAAAACUGCGUUCCGUGGAGAAUGUUUUUUGAUAUUUCAUAAAAAAAUUCCGGUAGGUAGACCUCGCCUAAUUUUACAAAUUGCCCACCGACACUGAGAAUGUUUCUGCAAAUCUGAACUAAAAAUAUAAACUAAAUCCUA